This 502-nucleotide ribosomal RNA is filed under the name uncultured Glomeromycotina. RNAcentral describes it as "partial small subunit ribosomal RNA". It matches the Rfam family "Eukaryotic small subunit ribosomal RNA", at positions 591 to 1092 of the family's 1831-position model. The record is from RNAcentral. Lineage: Eukaryota; Fungi; Glomeromycota.
CCAAUAGCGUAUAUUAAAGUUGUUGCAGUUAAAAAGCUCGUAGUUGAACUUCGGGGUUCACCCAUUGGUCAGGCUUAAUUGUCUGCACUGGUGAGAUGAGUCUCUACCUUCUGAGGAACUUUCAUGCCAUUUAUUUGGUGUGGCUGGAAAUCAGGACUGUUACUUUGAAAAAAUUAGAGUGUUUAAAGCAGGCUAACGUCUGAAUACAUUAGCAUGGAAUAAUGAAAUAGGACGGACUGAUUCUAUUUCGUUGGUUUCUAGGAUCACCGUAAUGAUUAAUAGGGAUAGUUGGGGGCAUUAGUAUUCAAUUGCCAGAGGUGAAAUUCUUGGAUUUAUUGAAGACUAACUACUGCGAAAGCAUUUGCCAAGGAUGUUUUCAUUAAUCAAGAACGAAAGUUAGGGGAUCGAAGACGAUCAGAUACCGUCGUAGUCUUAACCAUAAACUAUGCCGACUAGGGAUCGGACGAAGUUAAUUUUAUAAUGACGCGUUCGGCACCUUACG